CAGAAACCGAGAGGUGGAAACAGAGCCCAGGGGAGGGAGGAACUCCACGCGACUUUCCUCCUCUGCAAACAGCCCGAAGAUGAAAUCGGCGUCCCGUAGCUGGUGAAGGCUUUUCGUCUUCACUUUGUUCCCAAUGCUGAAGGCCCCCCUGAAGGUGGCUGUGGUCACACCGAGUCUCACCACCAGCCUAUUCGGGAGACUCCAAGGCAGCCCACCCAAGAAUCACUCAAAACGCCAGAACGCAAAGAACACAAACCAGCUGCACCUGGGACCCGAGCCAAAGACGCGUAGCGCCUGAAUCUUCUCCAUAGGCUCACACUGGAUAAAAAGAUUGUGUAUCUGAAGUAUUGCCUAAGGGUAUGGCUCAAUUUCCCUUGACUCCAUAGCAAAAUCGCAGAAGUUUAUUUCCUUGACAAAGCCAAGGUGUAAUUCUCUUAGGUCUAUCCAUAAUGUAGUCAGACUGCUUUGCACCGAACUGGCUUCCCUUCAUGGCCAAAGAGACUCACAAGAGACAUCGAAAUAGAAAGUACAAGUAUUGUUACAGGCAGCUGGUUAGGUUCCAAGAGGAUGUCUGGAGGCAAACAAUGAGGAGAUCAGAGCCAGACCAGAGGUCAGGAGAGUCAUAGGCCCUUCCUGGCAGCACUCUAAAACAAAGCCACAAAAAGCUAUAUCCAACCAGACAGGCCCAAGAUAGCUGAUGAAGUAGGUUGGAAACCCCUGGCAAAAUAAAGAAAAAAAGAUGAGAACUCCUGCUUCCAAGCUAUCCCCACCCCAAGUAAUGAACAUUCUACCCCCUCGUUCACAACUGUCAAUAAAAGAUAGAAACCUAAACCCCAACUUCUCUGAACUUCUCUCUCCCCACCUCCCUCUCCCUCCUGCUUCCCUGCUCUCUAUCCCAAGAGUAAUAAACUUUACUACUUGUGUCCCUA
Molecule: long non-coding RNA, 929 nt
Organism: Prionailurus viverrinus (fishing cat)
Lineage: Eukaryota; Metazoa; Chordata; Mammalia; Carnivora; Felidae
Exons: 6
Source: RefSeq, a predicted model, not a curated record